GUGGGGAAUAUUGGACAAUGGGCGCAAGCCUGAUCCAGCAAUGCCGCGUGGGUGAAGAAGGCCUUCGGGUUGUAAACCGCUUUUGUCAGGGAAGAAAUCCUUUGGGUUAAUACCUCGGAGGGAUGACGGUACCUGAAGAAUAAGCACCGGCUAACUACGUGCCAGCAGCCGCGGUAAUACGUAGGGUGCGAGCGUUAAUCGGAAUUACUGGGCGUAAAGCGUGCGCAGGCGGUUUUGUAAGACAGGCGUGAAAUCCCCGGGCUCAACCUGGGAAUUGCGCUUGUGACUGCAAGGCUGGAGUGCGGCAGAGGGGGAUGGAAUUCCGCGUGUAGCAGUGAAAUGCGUAGAUAUGCGGAGGAACACCGAUGGCGAAGGCAAUCCCCUGGGCCUGCACUGACGCUCAUGCACGAAAGCGUGGGGAGCAAACAGGAUUAGAAACCCUGGUAGUCC
RNAcentral lists this ribosomal RNA (450 nucleotides) under uncultured bacterium. RNAcentral describes it as "partial 16S ribosomal RNA". It matches the Rfam family "Bacterial small subunit ribosomal RNA", at positions 354 to 796 of the family's 1533-position model. The record is from RNAcentral.